AUGGUAAAACCGCGAAUGGCUCAUUAAAUCAGCUAUGGUUCCUUAGAUCUUACAUCCAUACUUGGAUAACUGUAGUAAUUCUAGAGCUAAUACAUGCCGAAAAGCUCUGACUUAACAGUAGAGUGGCUUUAUUAGAACAAGACCAACCGGCUGCGGCUGUUGGUUUGAUGACUCUGGAUAACUUUUCUGAUCGCACGGCCAAGCGCCAGCGACGUAUCUUUCAAAUGUCUGCCCUAUCAACUAUCGAUGGUAGGUGAUAUGCCUACCAUGGUUAUGACGGGUAACGGGGAAUCAGGGUUCGAUUCCGGAGAGGGAGCCUUAGAAAUGGCUACCACAUCUAAGGAAGGCAGCAGGCGCGCAAAUUACCCACUCUCAGCUAGAGGAGGUAGUGACGAAAAAUAACGAUGCGGGACUCAUUUGAGGCUCCGCAAUUGGAAUGAGAACAAUUUAAAUCCUUUAACGAGGAACAAUUGGAGGGCAAGUCUGGUGCCAGCAGCCGCGGUAACUCCAGCUCCAAUAGCGUAUAU
Molecule: ribosomal RNA, 527 nt
Filed under: Sabulirhynchus axi
Lineage: Eukaryota; Metazoa; Platyhelminthes; Rhabdocoela; Polycystididae
Description: SSU rRNA
Rfam family: Eukaryotic small subunit ribosomal RNA
Source: RNAcentral